Dipodomys ordii (Ord's kangaroo rat) is the source of this 768-nucleotide long non-coding RNA. RefSeq lists it as uncharacterized. NCBI's taxonomy places the organism in Eukaryota, Metazoa, Chordata, Mammalia, Rodentia, Heteromyidae. The transcript has 2 exons. The record is from RefSeq and is a predicted model, not a curated record.
GGUACACUCCAUAGAACUUCAAGCAACUGACGAGCAUGACCGUCCACUCGUCACCUGCUCGAUUGUCAGCAGCGGCAAGAUAGAUGUGAAGACGCCCUUUGUGGUGGAGGUUGCCGACUGGUGAUGACCAGGAGAAAAGAAAACACUCUCGCCGGGGAAAAAUUUUUAAAAACUCAUCGCUCAAUUGGGUGCCGGUGCUAAUGCCUAUAAUCCUAGCUACUCUGGAAGCUAAGAUAGGAAGAGAGCAAUUUGAAGCCAUCUGGGCCAGGAAAACCCACGAGACUCCUGAUUAAUCAGAAAAAAAAAAAAAAAAGCCUGAUCUGUGGCUCACGGUGGAGUGGCAGUCUGAGUAAAGCUGAGACAGCACCCAGGCCCUGAGUUCCAGCUGCAGUUCCAGCACAGACAACAGCACAAAACCCACUCAGUGUUUGCUCUCUCUGACUUGAUAAAUCACCUGUUCAGGGUCUUUUGAAUUGAAAAAAAAAAAAACUCUUCCUCUAAUGGUGCUAGUUUACAUUAGAAAGACUGUAUUGGCUCUUUAAAGAACACAAUCAUUUAUUUAAUUUCUCCUAAACUCAUUGGUAUCUCCAUGUUGGGUGGUGCUGAAGAUUUGUUUGAAAAGAUGAAGACCUGAAGUUUAUUAUAGUGAAUUCAAUCAUUUUUUGCUGGGCAGAUGGAAAUUGGAUUGGUACAAACUGAUGCACAUCAUAAGGAGUUUUGAGUGAUUGAAGGUGCUUUAUGUUCUCCAUAUUAAAUACUUUUGAUAUA